This 614-nucleotide ribosomal RNA is filed under the name Streptomyces sp. RNAcentral's name for it is "bacterial SSU rRNA". It matches the Rfam family "Bacterial small subunit ribosomal RNA", at positions 258 to 886 of the family's 1533-position model. Lineage: Bacteria; Bacillati; Actinomycetota; Actinomycetes; Kitasatosporales; Streptomycetaceae. The record is from RNAcentral.
UAAGAUCUCACGCGACGACGGGUAGCCGGCCUGAGAGGGCGACCGGCCACACUGGGACUGAGACACGGCCCAGACUCCUACGGGAGGCAGCAGUGGGGAAUAUUGCACAAUGGGCGAAAGCCUGAUGCAGCGACGCCGCGUGAGGGAUGACGGCCUUCGGGUUGUAAACCUCUUUCAGCAGGGAAGAAGCGAAAGUGACGGUACCUGCAGAAGAAGCGCCGGCUAACUACGUGCCAGCAGCCGCGGUAAUACGUAGGGCGCAAGCGUUGUCCGGAAUUAUUGGGCGUAAAGAGCUCGUAGGCGGCUUGUCACGUCGGAUGUGAAAGCCCGGGGCUUAACCCCGGGUCUGCAUUCGAUACGGGCUAGCUAGAGUGUGGUAGGGGAGAUCGGAAUUCCUGGUGUAGCGGUGAAAUGCGCAGAUAUCAGGAGGAACACCGGUGGCGAAGGCGGAUCUCUGGGCCAUUACUGACGCUGAGGAGCGAAAGCGUGGGGAGCGAACAGGAUUAGAUACCCUGGUAGUCCACGCCGUAAACGUUGGGAACUAGGUGUUGGCGACAUUCCACGUCGUCGGUGCCGCAGCUAACGCAUUAAGUUCCCCGCCUGGGGAGUACGGA